Molecule: non-coding RNA, 736 nt
Organism: Pseudonaja textilis
Lineage: Eukaryota; Metazoa; Chordata; Lepidosauria; Squamata; Elapidae
Source: RefSeq, a predicted model, not a curated record
UAUUUAUUGCCCAAAACAACAGGGACUUCUAAAACUUUGAAUGAAAAAGCAGAUAAAAAAAGAUAUUUACUUUUAAAUAACAACAGUAAUAGUAAUAGUCAUAAUAGAAUGCCAUUCUGUUUGUAAACAAAGACUUUAUUGCAUGAAGCUGCUGGAGGAAAGACAUUCAGGCAUAAGCUAUAAAUUGAUAUUUUCCGCUUUCCAUCACUCCCAGAAAUAAUAACAUAUAGUUUCAUUCUUGAUUUUCCAUUAAACAUUUGGCGAUAGAGGUGAAAACAUCCAGACUGAUAAUCUUAUAGAAACUUUAGGUUAAUCAGGAAUCAAUCUGAGGAAGAAAUGGCUCAGAAAUUCAAUUCUUUCUCUCUUUUUUAAAAAUAUCUAUUUCUUUAAGAAAAUUUUUUUUUAAAGAAAACUGCCUUAAAUUUUAAUUUAAUUUGAAAAUUUAAAAUUAAUACAAUUAAUUUUAUUUACCUAAUAUAUUUUAAUUGAAUUAAAAUAAAAUAAAUUUAAUUCUAAUUUAAUUUAUGCUUUUUACAUUAUAUAUUUAUAACAGAAGUUCAGAGCACCUGUUUUUCCAGAUACCUAAAAUUAUACUUCAAUUCAACCAAUCAAUUUUUAUUACCAUCACAGACCAGCAUUAUGCUUCAAAAGAUAUUUCUCUAGGAAGGAAAGCUUUAUUUUAAAAUGAAAGAUGGCUAUGCAAAACAUUUCCCAGCAGAACCUCUGACACUAUAAA